Molecule: ribosomal RNA, 504 nt
Filed under: uncultured bacterium
Lineage: Bacteria
Description: partial 16S ribosomal RNA
Rfam family: Bacterial small subunit ribosomal RNA
Source: RNAcentral
AUUGAACGCUGGCGGCAGGCCUAACACAUGCAAGUCGGACGGUAGCACAGAGAGCUUGCUCUCGGGUGACGAGUGGCGGACGGGUGAGUAAUGUCUGGGGAUCUGCCCGAUAGAGGGGGAUAACCACUGGAAACGGUGGCUAAUACCGCAUAACGUCGCAAGACCAAAGAGGGGGACCUUCGGGCCUCUCACUAUCGGAUGAACCCAGAUGGGAUUAGCUAGUAGGCGGGGUAAUGGCCCACCUAGGCGACGAUCCCUAGCUGGUCUGAGAGGAUGACCAGCCACACUGGAACUGAGACACGGUCCAGACUCCUACGGGAGGCAGCAGUGGGGAAUAUUGCACAAUGGGCGCAAGCCUGAUGCAGCCAUGCCGCGUGUAUGAAGAAGGCCUUCGGGUUGUAAAGUACUUUCAGCGGGGAGGAAGGCGGUGCGGUUAAUAACCGCGCCGAUUGACGUUACCCGCAGAAGGAGCACCGGCUAACUCCGUGCCAGCAGCCGCCGCGG